This is a long non-coding RNA of Pecten maximus, 867 nucleotides long. RefSeq lists it as uncharacterized. The record is from RefSeq and is a predicted model, not a curated record. The transcript has 3 exons. NCBI's taxonomy places the organism in Eukaryota, Metazoa, Mollusca, Bivalvia, Pectinida, Pectinidae.
AAUCUCUGGAAUCCUGCCAAUAUACUUAUUGGAUCGCUUCAACAUCUUCACUUGGUAGCCUCCUUUUCAUUAGUAUCAUUGCACAUGUGCUGGUCUGCCGGAAUUAUCAAAAACGACGCAUGAGCAAAACGUCAGUGAACACCAUCGAAAUGAAAAGGAAAACACGACAGUCGAUAAAGCAGCAAAACAAACCGCAACGAUACAUUGAUAUGGAUGAACCAGGUCCGAGUGGUCUGGAAAAGGAGGGGAGACAACUCAUGGUGAUCUGUAUGAAGAAGUAGAAGCUCCGAAUACUAUUGACGACAACCAGCAGUCAGAGUACUAUUUAGAUAUGAGUGGGUCAAAUUUUCCACGGGAUGAUGAAAUAUAUCAAAACUCAGAUUUAGUUAAUGGAGAUCAAGGAAGUGAAUCGCGUCCUUGUACGGAUCAUGCUGAUGAAGAUGGUGACGGUGACGUUUAUGAGGAAAUGCGAGAUUACAUCAACACUUCCCCGUUUAGUAAACCUCGUUGAACUAUCAAAACAAUUCAAGCUGAUACAAACUACUAUGUAUGGGAGAGCCCUAACAACAGUUUAACCAUCGCCCAUUAAGCCCUUUUUCCAAGUCUGUGUAAUUCAAUAUGUAUCUUACUACUGUAUUAGAAAUAAGGAAUGUAAAACUGUCUACCAUGUAACUAUUAUACAUCAGGUGAGCACACACGUGUGAACUGGUAUGAAUCAGAUGUAUACAUAUGUUAAACUUUAUAAACCAGAUACGUUGGAACGUUUAACUGUUAUACACCCUAAAUAUACAAUUCUAUCAUAUCAACAUAAUGUUAACGUGGUUAUUUACGCGGGGUUUACCCUGUCAAAUGAUUAUGAAUAGUUCA